GAGAUACUGCAGACAAGAGAGAAAGACAAAGGGGAAAGUAUGCUUCUGGAUAUAGCAAAGAUCUCUGAACUUCACUAGAAGAUUUUACCGGCACACCCAGCAACUUCAUGUUAGCCAGAGUAAGUAAGCAGUUUUAAAUUUGAGAAAUGGCUUGUGGUCUCAGAUGGAGAAAGGGAAGAUGACUCAGUAAGGACAAAAGUUUCCAACCCUGAAGAGCACUGGAUGAAGUGGUGGCGGCAGCCCUUCUGACCAGCAGUAAUCCCGGGCUGCCGUUCCUCCUCUGAACCCAAAAAUCUGCAUUUCCUGAAUCAACAGGCCCAGCACAGGGCUGUCUCUCACCACCAUUACUCAUAGCUGUGCAUCUCUGGGUAGAGCUAUCAUUCUGUCUCUCAAGUACCUGUUCGGGAAGAGAUCUUAAAACACAUAGUUUCAUGUAAAAAAAUCCAGCCUUUUGCUUCCAGCAGCAGCUGGUCUAGUAGGAGAGAGCUGCCCACACCUUGACCAGUUUGGCCACACAGCUUGCUAGGUAAGGACAGGCCAGCACACUUAUACUGCUGCCAGGAAUAUUGCUACUGAUAGUGCUCACUGAACCAUGUUGUAUCAGCUGCAUCCAUGUCAGAGGAGCAUGUCCAAGACGAGUUACAGCUAACAAGGCUCUAUUUGAGGGGAAAAAUGAGACCAGAGUGAGAUUUAUGACAAUUGCAAGUACAGAAUAAGCAGUAUGAACAGCUGAGCCCCAAAGAAUGGUAAGGUGCUCUUUACAUACAAAUAUUUUCAGUGGCGAAAAAAAAAAGAAAAGAAAAAAAAGAAAGAGAAGAGAGAAAAAAAUCAGAAAAUAAGAAAAUGAACUGUAACAAACACUUUUUCUAAGUAGAGUCUUUCUGUGUUUCCCAUGGGAUUCAACUGAAUGGGGGAAGAUAAAAAAAAAGGAAGAGCAGAAACUGCUUGCAAGACAGAACAAACCUUGAGUGCCAAGAACAUGCUCCAGAUUUUUUUAAAAAUGCCUGGCUCUUAUCUCAGCCCUGAUUCAUCACAGUUUACUCCCAGAAUUAUUCAGAAUUCAAGGACCUUGCUUCUGUGGGGUUAAUGGGUUACGUUCAGCAUUGAAACCCAUGACACAAAUAGCUCCUUAAUUAUUCAG
This is a long non-coding RNA of Grus americana (Whooping crane), 1141 nucleotides long. RefSeq lists it as uncharacterized. The record is from RefSeq and is a predicted model, not a curated record. The transcript is spliced from 3 exons. NCBI's taxonomy places the organism in Eukaryota, Metazoa, Chordata, Aves, Gruiformes, Gruidae.